This 165-nucleotide ribosomal RNA is filed under the name uncultured bacterium. RNAcentral describes it as "partial 16S rRNA". It matches the Rfam family "Bacterial small subunit ribosomal RNA", at positions 355 to 511 of the family's 1533-position model. The record is from RNAcentral.
UGGGGAAUUUUUGGACAAUGGGCGAAAGCCUGAUCCAGCAAUGCCGCGUGCAGGAUGAAGGCCCUCGGGUUGUAAACUGCUUUUGUACGGAACGAAAAGCCUGGGGCUAAUAUCCCCGGGUCAUGACGGUACCGUAAGAAUAAGCACCGGCUAACUACGUGCCAC